GAUGAACGCUGGCGGCGUGCCUAAUACAUGCAAGUCGAGCGAACAGACGAGGAGCUUGCUCCUCUGACGUUAGCGGCGGACGGGUGAGUAACACGUGGAUAACCUACCUAUAAGACUGGGAUAACUUCGGGAAACCGGAGCUAAUACCGGAUAAUAUAUUGAACCGCAUGGUUCAAUAGUGAAAGACGGUUUUGCUGUCACUUAUAGAUGGAUCCGCGCCGCAUUAGCUAGUUGGUAAGGUAACGGCUUACCAAGGCAACGAUGCGUAGCCGACCUGAGAGGGUGAUCGGCCACACUGGAACUGAGCCACGGUCCAGACUCCUACGGGAGGCACCAGUAGGGAAUCUUCCGCAAUGGGCGAAAGCCUGACGGAGCAACGCCGCGUGAGUGAUGAAGGUCUUCGGAUCGUAAGACUCUGUUAUUAGGGAAGAACAAAUGUGUAAGUAACUAUGCACGUCUUGACGGUACCUAAUCAGAAAGCCACGGCUAACUACGUG
RNAcentral lists this ribosomal RNA (497 nucleotides) under uncultured bacterium. RNAcentral describes it as "partial 16S ribosomal RNA". It matches the Rfam family "Bacterial small subunit ribosomal RNA", at positions 28 to 507 of the family's 1533-position model. The record is from RNAcentral.